This 483-nucleotide ribosomal RNA is filed under the name uncultured bacterium. RNAcentral describes it as "partial 16S ribosomal RNA". It matches the Rfam family "Bacterial small subunit ribosomal RNA", at positions 30 to 507 of the family's 1533-position model. The record is from RNAcentral.
UUGAACGCUGGCGGCAGGCCUAACACAUGCAAGUCGAGCGGAUGAAGGGAGCUUGCUCCUGGAUUCAGCGGCGGACGGGUGAGUAAUGCCUAGGAAUCUGCCUGGUAGUGGGGGAUAACGUCCGGAAACGGGCGCUAAUACCGCAUACGUCCUGAGGGAGAAAGUGGGGGAUCUUCGGACCUCACGCUAUCAGAUGAGCCUAGGUCGGAUUAGCUAGUUGGUGGGGUAAAGGCCUACCAAGGCGACGAUCCGUAACUGGUCUGAGAGGAUGAUCAGUCACACUGGAACUGAGACACGGUCCAGACUCCUACGGGAGGCAGCAGUGGGGAAUAUUGGACAAAGGGCGAAAGCCUGAUCCAGCCAUGCCGCGUGUGUGAAGAAGGUCUUCGGAUUGUAAAGCACUUUAAGUUGGGAGGAAGGGCAGUAAGUUAAUACCUUGCUGUUUUGACGUUACCAACAGAAUAAGCACCGGCUAACAUCGUG